UAAAAUGAGAGUUUGAUCCUGGCUCAGGACGAACGCUGGCGGCGUGCCUAAUACAUGCAAGUCGAGCGAGCGGAACUAACAGAUUUACUUCGGUAAUGACGUUAGGAAAGCGAGCGGCGGAUGGGUGAGUAACACGUGGGGAACCUGCCCCAUAGUCUGGGAUACCACUUGGAAACAGGUGCUAAUACCGGAUAAGAAAGCAGAUCGCAUGAUCAGCUUUUAAAAGGCGGCGUAAGCUGUCGCUAUGGGAUGGCCCCGCGGUGCAUUAGCUAGUUGGUAAGGUAAAGGCUUACCAAGGCGAUGAUGCAUAGCCGAGUUGAGAGACUGAUCGGCCACAUUGGGACUGAGACACGGCCCAAACUCCUACGGGAGGCAGCAGUAGGGAAUCUUCCACAAUGGACGCAAGUCUGAUGGAGCAACGCCGCGUGAGUGAAGAAGGUUUUCGGAUCGUAAAGCUCUGUUGUUGGUGAAGAAGGAUAGAGGUAGUAACUGGCCUUUAUUUGACGGUAAUCAACCAGAAAGUCACGGCUAACUACGUGCCAGCAGCCGCGGUAAUACGUAGGUGGCAAGCGUUGUCCGGAUUUAUUGGGCGUAAAGCGAGCGCAGGCGGAAGAAUAAGUCUGAUGUGAAAGCCCUCGGCUUAACCGAGGAACUGCAUCGGAAACUGUUUUUCUUGAGUGCAGAAGAGGAGAGUGGAACUCCAUGUGUAGCGGUGGAAUGCGUAGAUAUAUGGAAGAACACCAGUGGCGAAGGCGGCUCUCUGGUCUGCAACUGACGCUGAGGCUCGAAAGCAUGGGUAGCGAACAGGAUUAGAUACCCUGGUAGUCCAUGCCGUAAACGAUGAGUGCUAAGUGUUGGGAGGUUUCCGCCUCUCAGUGCUGCAGCUAACGCAUUAAGCACUCCGCCUGGGGAGUACGACCGCAAGGUUGAAACUCAAAGGAAUUGACGGGGGCCCGCACAAGCGGUGGAGCAUGUGGUUUAAUUCGAAGCAACGCGAAGAACCUUACCAGGUCUUGACAUCUAGUGCCAUUUGUAGAGAUACAAAGUUCCCUUCGGGGACGCUAAGACAGGUGGUGCAUGGCUGUCGUCAGCUCGUGUCGUGAGAUGUUGGGUUAAGUCCCGCAACGAGCGCAACCCUUGUUAUUAGUUGCCAGCAUUAAGUUGGGCACUCUAAUGAGACUGCCGGUGACAAACCGGAGGAAGGUGGGGAUGACGUCAAGUCAUCAUGCCCCUUAUGACCUGGGCUACACACGUGCUACAAUGGGCAGUACAACGAGAAGCGAGCCUGCGAAGGCAAGCGAAUCUCUGAAAGCUGUUCUCAGUUCGGACUGUAGUCUGCAACUCGACUGCACGAAGCUGGAAUCGCUAGUAAUCGCGGAUCAGCACGCCGCGGUGAAUACGUUCCCGGGCCUUGUACACACCGCCCGUCACACCAUGGGAGUCUGCAAUGCCCAAAGCCGGUGGCCUAACCUUCGGGAAGGAGCCGUCUAAGGCAGGGCAGAUGACUGGGGUGAAGUCGUAACAAGGUAGCCGUAGGAGAACCUGCGGCUGGAUCACCUCCUUU
Molecule: ribosomal RNA, 1564 nt
Filed under: Lactobacillus crispatus
Lineage: Bacteria; Bacillati; Bacillota; Bacilli; Lactobacillales; Lactobacillaceae
Description: bacterial SSU rRNA
Rfam family: Bacterial small subunit ribosomal RNA
Source: RNAcentral